RNA transcript from Aegilops tauschii subsp. strangulata, 1928 nucleotides. RefSeq lists it as uncharacterized. The record is from RefSeq and is a predicted model, not a curated record. Lineage: Eukaryota; Viridiplantae; Streptophyta; Magnoliopsida; Poales; Poaceae.
CAUUUUCUAUCUUUGCAUCAGAGUGAUCUCCCCCUGAACACAACUGGUUUAGCAUAGCAUCUCCAGUGUCAAUAUGACCUGAAGAGCAAGUAUUGCUAGGCUAUUUGGUCAUUCUUUUCCUGAGAUCUACUUUGCCUCUUGGCUCCACUGAUCGGUCAGCUGCUCUAUACCAUCACCAUCAUCCUGACCUUAUCAAUCACACGUAAGACGCGUACCAACAACCGAGGCUGCCUGCCCCGUCCCCAUCCACAACCGCGUGGUGUGCCUUACAAUCUCUCCCACUCGGCCAAAACCCAGACGGGCGCUUGGCCGGAAAGCGCCGUCGGACGGAAAAAUCUCCCGGAACUCCACUCCACAGUCCACACACACACCCCCGCUGCCCGACACGCCGUCGCGGCCGUUCCCGUCGACCUCUCUCCGUCUUAUCGCAUCGCACCGCAAAAGGUGUGGCGCAGCCGGUCGACCCCGGCCGCGGGCCGUCGCGGUCUCGCACCCUUUUCGCACUCUGGCAACGAGUCCGCCACAAUAAUAACCAGUAGGGAAUAACCUUUCAAAACAAAAAAAAACAGUAGGGAUUAAUAACAUUUCAAAACAAUAAACAGUGUCCUAAAAAAAGUAGGGAUUAACCUUUCAAAACCAAAAAAAAAAAUCCUAAAAGACAGUAUAGGGAUUAAAAAAACAGCAGGGAACAACCUUCCAAGAAAAAAAACAGCAUCCACAAAAAAAAAACAGUAGGAGAUAAAUAGCAGGACAGAACUGCAGGCCGCGUGAGGCAGUAGAAAAUUGCGGUUUGAUUUUUUCUCCUCGCCCCGCCGCUACACGCCACGCCCACGCCAACGCCAUCGUCGCCGCCUCCGCACCAACCGCCCUCCUCUACAUAACCGAUCCGAGAACCGCGCGGCCGCCCACGGUGGGUUCUCACCGCCAACGACUUGGGCCGGCGCGUUGAGGGUCGGCAGAUGCGGGACGGCGGCGGCUCCGGCUCCGGCCGGGAAGGCGGCGGGGAGGAGGAGAAGGAGCGGGAGCGUGGGCCGCGGCCGGGGUGCGGGGGCGAGGCGGCGGGGCAGGCGGCGGCGGACUGCGCGGCGGUGUGCUGCUGCUGCCCCAUGGCGCUGCUGGAGCUGGUGCUGCUCGUCGCGGUCCGGCUGCCGGCCGACCUCGCGCGCCGGGCCAGGCAGAGGCGGCGCCGGCGGCGCGGCGGCAGCGGGUCGGCGUCGCUGUCCGGGAGCACCAAGGCCAUGUUCGCGGCGCGGCGGACGCGCUGGAGGCGGACGAGGCCGAGGCCGGGGCCAGGCGCGAGGAGGAGGCGGCCGAGGCGGCGUCCGAGUUCGAGCGCGAGAUCAUGGCCUCCCGCCUCUACGGCGCCGGGUUCUGGCGCUCCAACUCCUCCCGCUCCAGCUCCCGCGCCUCCUCCGCGCGCCGGUAGCCGCGCUCGUCGACGGCCGAGCCGGCCAGCAACGGCGACGUCCCGUCGGCGUCCUCUUCUUCUUCUCUGUCGCGUCGAGUGCGUGUGUUCCCUGUGCCCGCCGUCGCGUUGCGCGGCGUGCGCGUGGAAGAUUUGGCUCGCCUCGUCAGGUGUUUAGUUUUAGUUUAGUUUGGCAUCGUGGUACAGCAGGCGAUCGUGGACACGUGCGUGCGUCCGAUCUUGGCCAUGGCGUGUCGCUGCUUUAGGAUGGGAUGGAUUCGUGAUGGACCAGUGGAAUUGCUCGGCUUGGCUUUGGAGAGAGGAACGGUGGUCGUCCUCAACUCCUGAGUCCUGACCGAGCAGCAUAUGCUAUUGUUGCCACCUGUGGAAUUGGAAUUGGAAUUGCUUGCAUGGCACUCGUGGUCAAACAAUCUAGUAGUAGUAGUAGUGAUAAUGUACAGUAGCAGCACUAGUGGCAAAUCUCUUGAAGGAAUUUUGUGGACCUAAUGGCCGUCAAAGAUCA